RNAcentral lists this ribosomal RNA (301 nucleotides) under uncultured bacterium. Its description in RNAcentral is "partial 16S ribosomal RNA". It matches the Rfam family "Bacterial small subunit ribosomal RNA", at positions 509 to 807 of the family's 1533-position model. The record is from RNAcentral.
CAGUAGCCGCGGUAAUACGAGGGGGGCAAGCGUUGUUCGGAAUUAUUGGGCGUAAAGGGUGCGUAGGCGGCUUGACAAGUCUUGUGUGAAAUCUAUGAGCUCAACCCAUAGUCUGCACGGGAAACUGUCGGGCUUGAGAAUGGGAGAGGUGAGUGGAAUUUCCGGUGUAGCGGUGAAAUGCGUAGAUAUCGGAAGGAACACCUGUGGCGAAAGCGGCUCACUGGACCAUUUCUGACGCUGAUGCACGAAAGCUAGGGGAGCAAACAGGAUUAGAUACCUCGGUAGUCCCUGUCUCUUAUAC